This 497-nucleotide ribosomal RNA is filed under the name uncultured bacterium. RNAcentral describes it as "partial 16S ribosomal RNA". It matches the Rfam family "Bacterial small subunit ribosomal RNA", at positions 28 to 507 of the family's 1533-position model. The record is from RNAcentral.
GAUGAACGCUGGCGGCGUGCCUAAUACAUGCAAGUCGAGCGAACGGACGAGAAGCUUGCUUCUCUGAUGUUAGCGGCGGACGGGUGAGUAACACGUGGAUAACCUACCUAUAAGACUGGGAUAAAUUCGGGAAACCGGAGCUAAUACCGGAUGAUAUUUUGAAACGCAUGGUUCAAAAGUGAAAAACGGUCUUGCUGUCACUUAUAGAUGGAUCCGCGCUGCAUUAGCUAGUUGGUAAGGUAACGGCUUACCAAGGCAACGAUGCAUAGCCGACCUGAGAGGGUGAUCGGCCACACUGGAACUGAGACACGGUCCAGACUCCUACGGGAGGCAGCAGUAGGGAAUCUUCCGCAAUGGGCGAAAGCCUGACGGAGCAACGCCGCGUGAGUGAUGAAGGUCUUCGGAUCGUAAAACUCUGUUAUUAGGGAAGAACAUAUGUGUAAGUAACUGUGCACAUCUUGACGGUACCUAAUCAGAAAGCCACGGCUAACUACGUG